GACGAACGCUGGCGGCGUGCUUAACACAUGCAAGUCGAACGGAAAGGCCCUGCUUUUGUGGGGUGCUCGAGUGGCGAACGGGUGAGUAACACGUGAGUAACCUGCCCUUGACUUUGGGAUAACUUCAGGAAACUGGGGCUAAUACCGGAUAGGAGCUCCUGCUGCAUGGUGGGGGUUGGAAAGUUUCGGCGGGUGGGGAUGGACUCGCGGCUUAUCAGCUUGUUGGUGGGGUAGUGGCCUACCAAGGCUUUGACGGGUAGCCGGCCUGCGAGGGUGACCGGCCACAUUGCGACUGAGAUACGGCCCAGACUCCUACGGUGGGCAGCAGUGGGGAAUAUUGCACAAUGGGCGGAAGCCUGAUGCAGCAACGCCGCGUGCGGGAUGACGGCCUUCGGGUUGUAAACCGCUGUCGCCUGUGACGAAGCGUUAGUGACGGUAAUGGGUAAAGAAGCACCGGCUAACUACGUG
This 468-nucleotide ribosomal RNA is filed under the name uncultured bacterium. Its description in RNAcentral is "partial 16S ribosomal RNA". It matches the Rfam family "Bacterial small subunit ribosomal RNA", at positions 28 to 507 of the family's 1533-position model. The record is from RNAcentral.